UACGGAGGGAGCUAGCGUUAUUCGGAAUUACUGGGCGUAAAGCGCACGUAGGCGGCUUUGUAAGUUAGAGGUGAAAGCCUGGAGCUCAACUCCAGAACUGCCUUUAAGACUGCAUCGCUUGAAUCCAGGAGAGGUGGGUGGAAUUCCGAGUGUAGAGGUGAAAUUCGUAGAUAUUCGGAAGAACACCAGUGGCGAAGGCGGCUCACUGGACUGGUAUUGACGCUGAGGUGCGAAAGCGUGGGGAGCAAACAGG
Molecule: ribosomal RNA, 253 nt
Filed under: uncultured bacterium
Lineage: Bacteria
Description: partial 16S ribosomal RNA
Rfam family: Bacterial small subunit ribosomal RNA
Source: RNAcentral